CCUACGGGAGGCAGCAGUGGGGAAUAUUGCACAAUGGGCGAAACCCUGAUGCAGCGACGCCGCGUGAGUGAAGAAGUAAUUCGUUACGUAAACCUCUAUCAUCAGGGAAGAAAUACUUACCUUACGGUCAGCAGACGGUACCUGCGUAAUAAGCCCCGGCUAACUACGUGCCAGCAGCCGCGGAAAUACGUAGGGGGCAAGCGUUAUCCGGAUUUACUGGGUGUAAAGGUGGCGUAGACGGUGGGCCAAGUCUGGAGUGAAAUGCCGCGGCUUAACUGCCGGACUGCUUUGGAAACUGGCGGGCUAGAGUGCGGGAGGGGUAAGCGGAAUUCCUAGUGUAGCGGUGAAAUGCGUAGAUAUUAGGAGGAACACCGGUGGCGAAGGCGGCUUACUGGACUGUAACUGACGUUGAGGCUCGAAAGUGUGGGGAGCGAACAGGAUUAGAUACCCGGGUAGUC
This 458-nucleotide ribosomal RNA is filed under the name uncultured bacterium. RNAcentral describes it as "partial 16S ribosomal RNA". It matches the Rfam family "Bacterial small subunit ribosomal RNA", at positions 338 to 795 of the family's 1533-position model. The record is from RNAcentral.